RNAcentral lists this ribosomal RNA (499 nucleotides) under uncultured Lachnospiraceae bacterium. RNAcentral's name for it is "partial 16S ribosomal RNA". Lineage: Bacteria; Bacillati; Bacillota; Clostridia; Lachnospirales; Lachnospiraceae. The record is from RNAcentral.
CACGUAGUUAGCCGGGGCUUCUUAGUCAGGUACCGUCUUUCUUCUUCCCUGCUGAUAGAGCUUUACAUACCGAAAUACUUCUUCACUCACGCGGCGUCGCUGCAUCAGGGUUUCCCCCAUUGUGCAAUAUUCCCCACUGCUGCCUCCCGUAGGAGUUUGGGCCGUGUCUCAGUCCCAAUGUGGCCGGUCGCCCUCUCAGGCCGGCUACUGAUCGUCGCCUUGGUGGGCCGUUACCUCACCAACUAGCUAAUCAGACGCGGGUCCAUCUCAUACCACCGGAGUUUUUCACACUCUGUCACUCGACAAUGUGCGCUUAUGCGGUUUUAGCAGUCAUUUCUAACUGUUAUCCCCCUGUAUGAGGCAGGUUACCCACGCGUUACUCACCCGUCCGCCGCUAAGGUUUAUUGCUUCCAUCCGAAAACUUCCGCUUUAAACCUCCGCUCGACUUGCAUGUGUUAAGCACGCCGCCAGCGUUCAUCCUGAGCCAGGAUCAAACUCU